RNAcentral lists this ribosomal RNA (289 nucleotides) under uncultured bacterium. RNAcentral's name for it is "partial 16S ribosomal RNA". It matches the Rfam family "Bacterial small subunit ribosomal RNA", at positions 524 to 817 of the family's 1533-position model. The record is from RNAcentral.
UACGAAGGGGGCUAGCGUUGCUCGGAAUUACUGGGCGUAAAGCGCACGUAGGCGGAUUGUUAAGUCGGGGGUGAAAUCCUGGAGCUCAACUCCAGAACUGCCUUCGAUACUGGCGAUCUCGAGUUCGGGAGAGGUGAGUGGAACUGCGAGUGUAGAGGUGAAAUUCGUAAGAUAUUCGCAAGAACACCAGUGGCGAAGGCGGCUCACUGGCCCGAUACUGACGCUGAGGUGCGAAAGCGUGGGAGCAACAGGGGAUUAAGAAACCCGUGCCCAGGAACCGAAGUCUCUC